Aethalodelphis obliquidens (Pacific white-sided dolphin) is the source of this 721-nucleotide long non-coding RNA. RefSeq lists it as uncharacterized. NCBI's taxonomy places the organism in Eukaryota, Metazoa, Chordata, Mammalia, Artiodactyla, Delphinidae. The record is from RefSeq and is a predicted model, not a curated record. The transcript is spliced from 3 exons.
CCUCAUCAGCUCAAGCUCGAAAUGCCUAAAGACAUGACAGCAAUGCUUAUGAGGGUUCUAUUGAAUGGCUGAAGAAUGCUGAUGAGGAUCAGACAUCAGGAUGUAUAGCAGAGGAAAGCAGCUGUUCUGUUCUGGAGCCAUGGAAAUGCUUUGGAAUGGUUUUCGAGGAACAGUCAACAAACCUCCAGCAGCUGUGACUGGUAAAAGAAAUGCUUCAGUUCAGAGCAGAGAAGAAAGAACAUGUUUUAAACCAUGGAGUCAGAAGGUGAGAAACUCCCAGGUUACCAGGAGCAGAGUUACUCUCAGAAGAAUGGGAUGAGUUGGUGACUACACUCCUCAGCGCAACAGGAAGCGCAGCGUCUCCCAACAUGAUAGAUCUCUCAAUACCGCAGCAUUGGAAAGAGCCUUUGUUUUUUUCCACCCAAGGGAUCAUUUUGAAUAGUCUCUCAAGAUGUUUGAAGUGGCUAUAAUCUGGUCAAUGUUCCUCAAAGUGUGGAGGGUACCCGUGAGGCAAAAGAGAGAAGAGACUGGAAGCAGAGUGGGAGAGACGAGGCUCACUUCCAACCCAUCCACUUCUACACCCAUCACUUUUUUCUUCCUGCCUUGCAAGGUUAAGCCCGUAUUUAAUGAGAAUGCUGAUGGAUGAAGCCAUGACCGUAUGGUGAUUACUACAGUGGACCAAGAUUCCAGAUUUUGUGCUUGAAGACACGGGCAAAGCAGG